CGGCUGCCAACACGGCUUUUAAACUGACAGGGCAAGCGGCUUUUUUCCUCUGCCAGUGCGACUCUGAGGGAGAGGAAGCCGCGGAGGCGGCUGCAGCUGUCAGCCCCGCCUGGCUUUUAGGCAGGCCACACCGCCUCAGGGUGCAGCAGCCUCAUUCAUUCAAAAUACGGCUUAAGAAAGCUUUCUGCCUCCCUUCAGCCUAAGUGACCUGUUUUGCACAGUUGGUUAAGGUGUAGGGUUUGCAACUGCAAGGUUGCUGGUUCAGGUCCGUGGUGGAGUCUGUUUUGGCUUGGCGGAGGUUUUUGGGAAAAUUCAGAAGCUGAAGACUAUGGGAUUUUGUUUUUUGUUGUAAAAUUUGGCUUGCUUAGGAUUGGUUCUCUCUACAGCAAAACUUUUCCAUUUGGAAGAUUAUAGUUAAACUGGUUCCAGGGCCCAAAUAGUUAAUGGCAGCUAUCGAAUCCCCAAAGGCAUUUUCCUACAAGAGAAGCCGGGUUAGGGGAGAGGAGGCCCCGGUCCUGAGGGUAUUGUUCCAGCCUCAGCCAUGUGGCCUGCCUUCCUUAACUGUGUGCUCUAACGGCCCCUCCCUAGAAAUUUACCCUGCUGGGGCAGUUUUAUAAAUUGGCCUGUGUAAAUUGGACUUUUGCUGGGAAAUAUUGAUAUCCCCAUCACCUGAGCCUCACGGGUCUCGUCGGGGCUCACUGGUACAUGACUACUCAACCCAAUAGCCGCUGUUGUUCUAUGGCAAUCACUGCUAUGGCAAUCACUGGAGGUCAUGCAGGCAGUGAGAGUGGUCCAAUGAUGCUGGAAGGUCAUGAUCAAAUCCAGCACAUAGGAGGCCCUCUGAUAAGAUGGAUCAUGCAUCUUUGGCACAUGAAAUUUCAGAGUACUGACUGAAAGAUGUUUCAUUUCAGUACCAUUUUACCUGGGGGACGCCUCAGGUUGAAGUGGCUGUAUUUUCUUUAACCGGGGAUGCGGGCAUCCCUCGUGUUCAAUUUCAGAUGGGUCCUUCUAUUCCCAAGCUCAAGUCCCCAUUAAAGUGUAUACUGGAAAACUGGGACCAAUUUAACACACAGUCUUUAAGGAAGAAAUGACUUAUUUUCCUCUGCCAAACAGAGUGGCCAAAUUACCCUCUGCUGAGUGGAAAAUGUAGUCCCCAAAGGGAAGAGAAGACAAUCCAACAGCUUUCCUUGGGUGAUUGCAGGAAGCCUUAAGAAAGUACACCCCCAUCACCAGACUCCAUUAAGGAAGCCUUGGAUACCUACUGAAGGAAAGUCAUAGACCCUCCACUCCACAGCCUGAAGUUUCAGGAGACAACCCUUCAUAUCCCUGCGAACUAUUAGAAAAUCUACAUCUGCUUUUCCAACAAGAUCCUCAGGGAAGUAAUCACACAUAAGUCUGAUAUCCUGGCAUUAAUAGGACUAUAACCCUCAACUUUGCUAUCUCUCGAACUCUGAUUAUCCUUUUCAUGGUGAGAAAGGAACCUGUCUUUUCCUAGGAAAAAUGCUGCUAUCUUGUAAACCAGUGAAGUGUUGUUUUGAACAUAGAACUCAGAAAUCAAUCAAACAAAGGGCUAAAGACCUUCAAGAACCUGGCUCUGUUCUCUCCUAGGCUCGUUUAUAACCAACCAUUCUGUAUUUGUUGGCAUCUGGGCUUUUCAUCUUUAACCACAUUGUCACAUUCAUUUCUUAUAGAAACAUAAGGUCACAAAUAAUCCUGCCACUGGAUUCCUGGAUGUCCUUGGCUCAUGGACUCUAUCGUAGACCUCUAGAUCAACCUGCACCCCUGAAAGGCUCCCCUCUGGAGGAAACCUCAACUGCUGAGCCCCUUCUAGGCCCCAUUUCAGCAGGAAGUAGUUAAAGAGGAUCAACGCACGUGUUCUAGCAGAAGUUGGGCUUUCCUGUUCAGAGCAGGGGAAUGAGGGAAGGUGUUCUCUUUCCAGGUCCACAAGGGGGCGUAGUUUUAAGGGCAAGAACUUCCUAGUGCCAUGCCCCCCUCUCAUCUCUCUCCAUCUGGGAGAUUAAUGGUUAAGUUUGAAUUUCUCAGGCACGGGAAGAAACUAAGAGUCAAUCACUUCAGUGGAAGUUCUAAGGAACUCCUUUCAUUAGCCAGGGGUCUUAGAGAAGGUGGGGGUUUCUCCCAGGUUAAAAGGCCCUGUCUUCCACUCCCCUUCAGACUCCAUGUUUGGAUCCCUUUCCAUGAACACUCCCUUCAUGGACGCCAUCUUUCUCUCUCCUGGGUUUUCCCUCUGGAGUCCCCUUCCAUGAACACUCCCUUUGUGGAAGUCUGUCUUCCCCUCCCAAACUCCAGCUCUCUCUAUUCCCUUCCACUCAGUGUGGAAGCUGCUUUUGUCUCCUGGAUUCCAUCUUUCUGGAUUCUCUCACUCAGUGUGAGAGUUAGCUGUUUCUUUCUCUUUCCUUCUCCUGUUUCUUUCUCUCUCUCUCCCUAAAUAAACCACUUUUUACAAAUGCUUUUGAGUCCUGCAUUUACUGCUCAUUGAGCCGUGGUCCCCUCUCUUAUUCUUGAGAGGGCAGGAGGCCAAGAACCUGCAAAAACAUCCUCUUAAGGGAGCUAAGGGCACCCUGAACUCCUGAACCCCAAUAUUGCAACUUGACAAAGUUUAGAAUUCAGUUUUUAGUUAUGAGAGACUGUCCCAUCCCGGAUGGGAAUAGCAUUUUAACCAUGGCCUCAUUAACACCUUCUCAAUUUAGUUCACAAUCUAAAAAGAGAAGUAUUCCUAAAGAGUUAGAAUAUUUUGAUUCAAGUCAUAAAAAAGGAAAAUAUUCAGAGAGUAGAAAGGCACUUAUUGAUGUUCUUAAAUCUUCAGCCAUCAAGGGAGAGAUUCUCUGAAGCAUGGGAACAAGACAAGAGGUCACAUUGAUUUCCUGCCAGCGUUCACAGGCUAACCACCACAAACAUAGCAACAAUCAUCAGUGGGACUGUAUGCACUGGAAAAAUUGUGAAAAUCUAAGCAAAAUGACUUCUUGUGACUCACGUAAUUUUGGGCCCAGAUGACAAGGAUCAGCACUUCCACAGAAAUAAGUGACACAAAAAAGGUAAACAAACCUCAUUUUUUGACCCUCUGUAAAUAUCCUGGGGAUAAUAACACUCAAAAAUGCACUUCUUUAACAGUGAGAUUUGUAUUUUCCCAUUCGCAUUGCGACAUAACCAUGGUAUGAGAUCAAAUGUCUCCAGAGAUCUGAGCAUUCACCAAGUCAAAUUUCACAACCCUGUUAAUUUCUUCAUUUUCACAUUUUAAUCAACAUCACACUUAGAAGGAAAAAAUAUACAGUUACCAUUAUCAUCUGAAUAUCACUUUAUUUUCUCUUUUAUGGUAAUUUUGUGUGUAGUCCCUAACCUGUCAUUAAAGUGAAUUGAAAUAACACACAAAUAUAAGAUAACAGGAAAUCUGGGUAUGAAAUAGUGGCUUUAAACUUUAUUUUUCAGAAAUAAGAGUCUUUUCAUAUUGAUGUUUUCUCACUGUUUUUUUUUUUUCUUUCUGCUUGUCUGUUAGUGAGCAGGUUGUUGAACAAUGGAAAUUUUCUGUCUGAAAUGCAGGAAUUCUCUGAGAAUUCUAGUCACUGAGGUUUUUCUUCUACACUGUGAGUUUUAAAGAGUAACUUACCUUGCCGGUGCCUGUUCCAUAUUAAAUUUUAUGUGUAACAAUUAAAUUCCCCUCUGAGCCAUCUGGUUUAUUGGUUGUUUGAAUUUACAUUCUUCAACUUGUCCUCCCAAUUUACCCAUAGUGGGACCAGAUUUUCUGGUCGUUUUUCAUAAAUUCCCUGCAUGUAGCCAGUCCAGUAAACUCCCUGAUGAGGUGGCUAUAAUGUGGCUCAUACUUUUAAAGUUAUAUAUUCAUACAUUAGACCUCACAAGGAAACGUGUGUAGCUCUACUUCUGUGCAUACAAGUAAA
Molecule: non-coding RNA, 3911 nt
Organism: Callithrix jacchus (white-tufted-ear marmoset)
Lineage: Eukaryota; Metazoa; Chordata; Mammalia; Primates; Cebidae
Source: RefSeq, a predicted model, not a curated record